Molecule: ribosomal RNA, 305 nt
Filed under: uncultured bacterium
Lineage: Bacteria
Description: bacterial SSU rRNA
Rfam family: Bacterial small subunit ribosomal RNA
Source: RNAcentral
ACGGGACGCAGCAGUAGGGAAUUUUCGUCAAUGGGCGCAAGCCUGAACGAGCAAUGCCGCGUGAACGAGGAAGGUCUUCGGAUCGUAAAGUUCUGUUGAAGGGGAAAAAGAGCGGAGAGAGGAAAUGGUCUCCGAUUGAUAUUACCCUUCGAGGAAGUCACGGCUAACUACGUGCCAGCAGCCGCGGUAAUACGUAGGUGGCGAGCGUUAUCCGGAAUGAUUGGGCGUAAAGGGUGCGUAGGCGGCCUGCUAAGUCUGGAGUGAAAGGUACCGGCUCAACCGGUACAGGCUCUGGAAACUGGCGG